Molecule: ribosomal RNA, 463 nt
Filed under: uncultured bacterium
Lineage: Bacteria
Description: partial 16S ribosomal RNA
Rfam family: Bacterial small subunit ribosomal RNA
Source: RNAcentral
GAUGAACGCUGACAGAAUGCUUAACACAUGCAAGUCUUUGGCGAAGCUGUGCUUGCACCGCCUAGCCAAGGCGGACGGGUGAGUAACGCGUAAGGAACUUGCCCUGCAGUCAGGGAUAACAGACGGAAACGACUGAUAAGACCUGGUAAAGUCAGGCGGACUCAUGUCCAGCCUGAUGAAAAGAGAUGCUGCAGGUGAGCCUUGCGUCCUAUUAGCUUGUUGGUGGGGUAACGGCCCACCAAGGCGAUGAUAGGUAGCCGGCCUGAGAGGGUGGACGGCCACAAGGAGACUGAGAUACGGCCCUUACUCCUACGGGGGGCAGGCGUGGAGAAUAUUGGACAAGGGGGGCAACCCUGAUCCAGAAGUUCUGUGUGGAAGAUGAAGGUUUUCGGAGUGAAAAGGGCUUUCAGCAGGGAAAAAAAAAAUGACGGUACCUGCAGAAGAAGCGACGACUAAAUACGUG